Molecule: ribosomal RNA, 433 nt
Filed under: uncultured bacterium
Lineage: Bacteria
Description: partial 16S ribosomal RNA
Rfam family: Bacterial small subunit ribosomal RNA
Source: RNAcentral
AACGAACGCUGGCGGCAUGCCUAACACAUGCAAGUCGAACGAGACCUUCGGGACUAGUGGCGCACGUGUGCGUAACGCGUGGGAACCUGCCCUUAUGUUCCGAAUCACUCCCCGAAAGGGGUGCUAAUACCGGAUAAUUUAUUCGGACCAAAGAUUUAUCGCCUAUGGAUGGGCCGGCGUGGGAUUCGCUAGUUGGUAGGGUAACAGCCUACCAAGGCGACGAUCCAUAGCUGGUCUGAGAGGAUGAUCAGCCACACUGGGACUGAGACACGGCCCAGACUCCUACGGGAGGCAGCAGUGGGGAAUAUUGGACCAGGGGCGAAAGCCUGAUCAAGCAAGGCCGCGUGAGUGAUGAAGGCCUUAGGGUUGUAAAGCUCUUUUACCCGGGAUGAUAAUGACAGUACCGGGAGAAUAAGCCCCGGCUAACUCCGUG